RNAcentral lists this ribosomal RNA (465 nucleotides) under uncultured bacterium. RNAcentral's name for it is "bacterial SSU rRNA". It matches the Rfam family "Bacterial small subunit ribosomal RNA", at positions 338 to 795 of the family's 1533-position model. The record is from RNAcentral.
CCUACGGGCUGCAGCAGUGGGGAAUAUUGCACAAUGGGCGCAAGCCUGAUGCAGCCAUGCCGUGUGUAUGAAGAAGGCCUUCAGGUUGUAAAGUACUUUCAGUCGGGAGGAAGGUGGUGAGCUUAAUACGCUCAUCAAUUGACGUUACCGACAGAAGAAGCACCGGCUAACUCCGUGCCAGCAGCCGCGGUAGUACGGAGGGUGCAAGCGUUAAUCGGAAUUACUGGGCGUAAAGCGCACGCAGGCGGUUGAUUGAGUCGGAUGUGAAAUCCCCGGGCCUAACCCGGGAAUUGCAUCUGAUACUGGUCAGCUAGAGUCUUGUAGAGGGGGGUAGAAUUCCAUGUGUAGCGGUGAAAUGCGUAGAGAUGUGGAGGAAUACCGGUGGCGAAGGCGGCCCCCUGGACAAAGACUGACGCUCAGGUGCGAAAGCGUGGGGAGCAAACAGGAUUAGAUACCCGAGUAGUC